AGCUGGAAGGUAUUGAGGCGUGCUGGGGAUGUAGCAAACAACGGAAACAACUAUUUUUAAGAUUCUUGCUUCCCUCUCUGAUGUUUUUUUAAACUUUUUUUUCCUACUUGGAGUACAUUACACUUUGGAUUUUACGGCGGCUUCUGCGCUUUACGCUCCGAGUCUUGUAUCCUUGGUAACGCGAACAACUGUCCUGCGAAGUUUGGAUCAAGUGUUUUUCCUUCAGCCGGAUAAAUAAACUGGAUAUUAAGGCGCUUUCUUAGGGGAGGGGACCCCCGUGUGCAGGUGGGCGUCAGCUGGACUAUUUCGAUUAGUUUUUAUUCAUUAAAAAGUGUUUUCUAAACCUAAACUUUGUGUUUAGGGAAACGGGACAACGCGGGACAAUAGUGGUGUGGGAGAGAGCUCCUGCAGGAGGAGGAGGGGGGGGGGGCUUUUGUUCUGUCCAGCCUGCUGUGGGGAUCGAUUAACCGGUGGAUCGAUGAUUUGUUGGUGAUCUGUAAGCGGGAUCGGAACAACCAUGGAUGUGACUCUGUCCGAGUUGUUGGCCACUUUCAUGGAGUCUCCGCUGGUGGUGUGGGUCGGGACGUUGGGUCCUCUGGGCUCGUGUGACAAUGCCGGCUCAGAGGAGCGGGUCAACAUGUUCAUGGAGCUGGUGGACGGCGUCUUCCUGCACAAGAUCAUGACACACAUUGACCCCAGCCCAACCAAUCAGAGGCUGAACAAGAAUGUGAACAAUGACGUGUCACUCCGCCUCCACAACCUCACCGUUCUCACCAGACAAAUCAGGAUGUACUACCAGGUACACACACACACACACACACA
This is a non-coding RNA of Labrus bergylta (ballan wrasse), 822 nucleotides long. The record is from RefSeq and is a predicted model, not a curated record. NCBI's taxonomy places the organism in Eukaryota, Metazoa, Chordata, Actinopteri, Labriformes, Labridae.